ACGCACGCUGGCGGCGUGCUUAACACAUGCAAGUCGAACGGAAAGGCCCUGCUUUUGUGGGGUGCUCGAGUGGCGAACGGGUGAGUAACACGUGAGUAACCUGCCCUUGACUUUGGGAUAACUUCAGGAAACUGGGGCUAAUACCGGAUAGGAGCUCCUGCUGCAUGGUGGGGGUUGGAAAGUUUCGGCGGUUGGGGAUGGACUCGCGGCUUAUCAGCUUGUUGGUGGGGUAGUGGCUUACCAAGGCUUUGACGGGUAGCCGGCCUGAGAGGGUGACCGGCCACAUUGGGACUGAGAUACGGCCCAGACUCCUACGGGAGGCAGCAGUGGGGAAUAUUGCACAAUGGGCGGAAGCCUGAUGCAGCAACGCCGCGUGCGGGAUGACGGCCUUCGGGUUGUAAACCGCUUUCGCCUGUGACGAAGCGUGGGUGACGGUAAUGGGUAAAGAAGCACCGGCUAACUACGUG
Molecule: ribosomal RNA, 467 nt
Filed under: uncultured bacterium
Lineage: Bacteria
Description: partial 16S ribosomal RNA
Rfam family: Bacterial small subunit ribosomal RNA
Source: RNAcentral